UGGACUCUGGGAUAAGCGCUGGAAACGGCGUCUAAUACUGGAUAUGAGCUUUCACCGCAUGGUGGGGGUUGGAAAGAUUUUUCGGUCUGGGAUGGGCUCGCGGCCUAUCAGCUUGUUGGUGAGGUAAUGGCUCACCAAGGCGUCGACGGGUAGCCGGCCUGAGAGGGUGACCGGCCACACUGGGACUGAGACACGGCCCAGACUCCUACGGGAGGCAGCAGUGGGGAAUAUUGCACAAUGGGCGGAAGCCUGAUGCAGCAACGCCGCGUGAGGGAUGACGGCCUUCGGGUUGUAAACCUCUUUUAGCAGGGAAGAAGCGAGAGUGACGGUACCUGCAGAAAAAGCGCCGGCUAACUACGUGCCAGCAGCCGCGGUAAUACGUAGGGCGCAAGCGUUAUCCGGAAUUAUUGGGCGUAAAGAGCUCGUAGGCGGUUUGUCGCGUCUGCUGUGAAAUCCCGAGGCUCAACCUCGGGCCUGCAGUGGGUACGGGCAGACUAGAGUGCGGUAGGGGAGAUUGGAAUUCCUGGUGUAGCGGUGGAAUGCGCAGAUAUCAGGAGGAACACCGAUGGCGAAGGCAGAUCUCUGGGCCGUAACUGACGCUGAGGAGCGAAAGGGUGGGGAGCAAACAGGCUUAGAUACCCUGGUAGUCCACCCCGUAAACGUUGGGAACUAGUUGUGGGGACCAUUCCACGGUUUCCGUGACGCAGCUAACGCAUUAAGUUCCCCGCCUGGGGAGUACGGCCGCAAGGCUAAAACUCAAAGGAAUUGACGGGGACCCGCACAAGCGGCGGAGCAUGCGGAUUAAUUCGAUGCAACGCGAAGAACCUUACCAAGGCUUGACAUACACCAGAACACCGUAGAAAUACGGGACUCUUUGGACACUGGUGAACAGGUGGUGCAUGGUUGUCGUCAGCUCGUGUCGUGAGAUGUUGGGUUAAGUCCCGCAACGAGCGCAACCCUCGUUCUAUGUUGCCAGCACGUAAUGGUGGGAACUCAUGGGAUACUGCCGGGGUCAACUCGGAGGAAGGUGGGGAUGACGUCAAAUCAUCAUGCCCCUUAUGUCUUGGGCUUCACGCAUGCUACAAUGGCCGGUACAAAGGGCUGCAAUACCGUGAGGUGGAGCGAAUCCCAAAAAGCCGGUCCCAGUUCGGAUUGAGGUCUGCAACUCGACCUCAUGAAGUCGGAGUCGCUAGUAAUCGCAGAUCAGCAACGCUGCGGUGAAUACGUUCCCGGGUCUUGUACACACCGCCCGUCAAGUCAUGAAAGUCGGUAACAC
This 1276-nucleotide ribosomal RNA is filed under the name Microbacterium proteolyticum. RNAcentral describes it as "bacterial SSU rRNA". It matches the Rfam family "Bacterial small subunit ribosomal RNA", at positions 132 to 1420 of the family's 1533-position model. Lineage: Bacteria; Bacillati; Actinomycetota; Actinomycetes; Micrococcales; Microbacteriaceae. The record is from RNAcentral.